Suricata suricatta (meerkat) is the source of this 296-nucleotide long non-coding RNA. RefSeq lists it as uncharacterized. The record is from RefSeq and is a predicted model, not a curated record. NCBI's taxonomy places the organism in Eukaryota, Metazoa, Chordata, Mammalia, Carnivora, Herpestidae. The transcript has 2 exons.
CUGUGCUUAGGAGCGAGCGGAUUUUCGGAAUUCAACUGGAAAAUGCAUAGUAAUUGCAGUCGUAUCGCCAUUCCCUCUUCCAGACCCCUUGUCUCUAGCUGUCACUUCGGGGUGCUCACCGGCCCCCCUCGUGUGACUCGGCCUCCAGAGGGACAGGAGAACCAGGGUAAUCUGCAGCGGCCGCCUUAGCGCGUCCACUCACGUGAUGCACACACAGAUCGGCAAGUCCUUGUCUUCCCUCCCAAUCUGCUCCUCUCUAUCCUUCGGUAGUUCAGUAAACGGUACAACCAUUUGUC